UUCCUGGUCAGACUCAGGGAAGCCAAG
This 27-nucleotide non-coding RNA is filed under the name Mus musculus (house mouse). The record is from RNAcentral. Lineage: Eukaryota; Metazoa; Chordata; Mammalia; Rodentia; Muridae.